RNAcentral lists this ribosomal RNA (492 nucleotides) under uncultured bacterium. Its description in RNAcentral is "partial 16S ribosomal RNA". It matches the Rfam family "Bacterial small subunit ribosomal RNA", at positions 28 to 507 of the family's 1533-position model. The record is from RNAcentral.
GAUGAACGCUAGCUACAGGCUUAACACAUGCAAGUCGAGGGGAAACGACAUCGAAAGCUUGCUUUUGAUGGGCGUCGACCGGCGCACGGGUGAGUAACGCGUAUCCAACCUGCCCAUCACUUGGGAAUAACCUUGCGAUAGUAAGACUAAUACCCAAUGAUAUCCCACGAAGGCAUCGGAAUGGGAUUAAAGAUUUAUCGGUGAUGGAUGGGGAUGCGUCUGAUUAGCUUGUUGGCGGGGUAACGGCCCACCAAGGCAACGAUCAGUAGGGGUUCUGAGAGGAAGGUCCCCCACAUUGGAACUGAGACACGGUCCAAACUCCUACGGGAGGCAGCAGUGAGGAAUAUUGGUCAAUGGGCGAGAGCCUGAACCAGCCAAGUAGCGUGCAGGAUGACGGCCCUAUGGGUUGUAAACUGCUUUUAUAAGGGAAUAAAGUGGGUCUCGUGAGACUUUUUGCAUGUACCUUAUGAAUAAGGACCGGCUAAUUCCGUG